Molecule: small nucleolar RNA, 95 nt
Organism: Coffea eugenioides
Lineage: Eukaryota; Viridiplantae; Streptophyta; Magnoliopsida; Gentianales; Rubiaceae
Product: small nucleolar RNA snoR20a
Exons: 1
Source: RefSeq, a predicted model, not a curated record
GCCAAUGAUGACUGUUAAAGGUUGAAUCUGAAAUGCUAGUUAUAGUAUUUGCUACGAUACUGUUGAUAUUGUUUUGUACUAGGACGGUCUGAGGC